Molecule: long non-coding RNA, 497 nt
Filed under: Salvia miltiorrhiza (redroot sage)
Lineage: Eukaryota; Viridiplantae; Streptophyta; Magnoliopsida; Lamiales; Lamiaceae
Description: long non-coding RNA (SMIL_LNC009634)
Source: RNAcentral
UCCUCUCUUCCCCUCAAGCAAUUUUUCGGUGAGAGUGAAACCGGGGACAAAGGUAAUGCGGAUUCCGAUCGUAUCUCCGGCGCUGUUGGCACUUCAGCCGUGUUCAGUUGCUGAGGGCUGCUGUUUCUCACCGGAGAUUCCAUAUUCCAAUCCCAAAUGUUAAAGUUCGGCAUAAGCGCAGAUGCAGAUUCUGUCGGCGGUGGUGGAGCUACAGCGGAGUUGUUAUGGACAGGGUUGUUACUUCUCACCGGAGAUUCCGCAAACUGAUCUGAAACGUUUGAGUUUCUUGGCGAUGAUUCUGAACUCUUCGUCGAACAUCUUUCCGGCGAUAAUGAACCUGACGGUGAUGGCGGUGAAGAUUCUGGAGCAAUUAGACCUCGUAUUUGCGGUGGAACCAGAAUAGUUUGCUCGAGAAGACUGCUAUCUCGCACUGGAGAUUCCGAAUUCUGAUCCGAGACAUUCGAAUUCCUCGGCGAUGAACUCAGUGCCAACGGCGA